Molecule: long non-coding RNA, 606 nt
Organism: Rosa rugosa (rugosa rose)
Lineage: Eukaryota; Viridiplantae; Streptophyta; Magnoliopsida; Rosales; Rosaceae
Exons: 3
Source: RefSeq, a predicted model, not a curated record
GCAACCCUAAUUGACCCAUUUAAUCUUCACUCACUUCAGACUACCAAAGUGGCCGCCUCCCUCUCCUUCAGUCCUCACUCCUCACCAAGUUCACACACCAGUCAUCACGAUCAGCUGAACAAACAGAUCGGAGACGGGCAGACGACCUGAAACGCCUAGUCUAGCGGCGCCGCCUGCCUCUCCUCCCUCUCCUUCUUUCUCGGUUUCUUCCGCUCUGAUUCUCCUUCUUUCUCCUCAAAUCCCCAAGACGCCGACAAGCGACAACUGCUAUUGUUCUGGUCUUGUAGCCUAGUCACUAGCUGCGAUUGUUCUGGUUAUCAAGUACACUUCAAUUAAGCACAGAGUGCUUGUGAAGAUCAACCAUAGCCCAGACAAAGCCGAGAGGAGGUGAAGUGGUUGUUGUCGGAGAGCAUGGCUACUGAUGGGAAUGCUAUUGUACUAUUGACGACAGCUCCAGUGGAACCAAACAACUGUAUUUGAAUUAGGACUUUCUAUUUCAAUUGGAUAUUUGUAUUACAAUUUGGACUUUGUAUUUAAAUUGGGACACUUUGUAUUUUAAUUGUAACUUCAAUUGUUCUGGACUUGUAUUUGAAUUUGGAUUUUAUG